CGGGGCGCUCCACCAGUGAGGAAUAUUGCACAAUGGGGGGAACCCUGAUGCAGCAACGCCGCGUGGAGGACGACGCAUUUCGGUGUGUAAACUCCUUUUAUAUGUCAAGAAAAUGACGGUAGCAUAUGAAUAAGCACCGGCUAACUCCGUGCCAGCAGCCGCGGUAAUACGGAGGGUGCAAGCGUUACUCGGAAUCACUGGGCGUAAAGGACGCGUAGGCGGGUUGGAAAGUCAGGUGUAAAAUCCUACAGCUUAACUGUAGAACUGCACUUGAAACUUCUAAUCUAGAGUAUGGGAGAGGGAGAUGGAAUUAGUGGUGUAGGGGUAAAAUCCGUAGAUAUCACUAGGAAUACCUAAAGCGAAGGCGAUCUCCUGGAACAUUACUGACGCUAAGGCGUGAAAGCGUGGGGAGCAAACAGGAUUAGAUACCCCAGUAGUC
Molecule: ribosomal RNA, 439 nt
Filed under: uncultured bacterium
Lineage: Bacteria
Description: partial 16S ribosomal RNA
Rfam family: Bacterial small subunit ribosomal RNA
Source: RNAcentral